CAUGAUAUAAGACGUGUUCUCUUACAUAUAUAAAUGCAGUAGUACUAGUGCUGAGAGAGAAUUAAUGUGUUCUUGGUCUUUGUACUAGAGGUUGUUACGCCUUAUAUAAUAGGACGGAGGGAGUAUUAGCUAACCCUCCUUUUUUUGAAUACACCAGAGCUAAUUUUAGAUAUUUUUUAGCUAGCUAGUAAAUUAGCUCUUGUAUCAAAAAAAUGCCUGAUUAUACUAGCUACACUAGUUGGUGUAAGUUUUUUUUUUCUUUUCCUAAAAAUUCAUCCACCUAAUAUUAAUGUAGGAACUCUCAUACAGACAUAUAUAAAACGAUUACACAUAUAUAAUGCAUGGAUGAUGGAUCUCAGAUGCAAAGAAGAUCAGAUGGAGGAUAUCCGUUGCUUUCCUGAUUGAAGAAGGCAGAUGGAGAAUACUGUAAUGGACAACCAGAGCGAGCCAGCCAGCGUUAAGCAUCUCAAUCCUCAUCAUGUCAUUUUCCGCGCAACGCAAGCGAUGAGGGAAUCACUGCACUCGUUUCGUUAUCUCGCCAUAAACCCCCGGCCUAUCGAUCGAUCGAUCGGCAGGCCCGCAGACGUACACCGGCCGGCCGUAGUAUAUAUAUAUCUCACGUGGAACAAAUUAAACGCAACAACACACUGCAUGCAGUCAGGUAGUUUCCCGGCCUGAUGAUUGAUCAGCAAAUCCGACCAUUUGCUAGCUGCUGCUACGUCACGUCGUCGCUUCCUUUUCAGUGACACGUAGGACAGCCACAGUCCACGUCAUUGGAUAUACAGGUCGUCCAAUACUCCAAUCCAAAGAUGAUGCAAGUGGGCACUUCUUCAACGGUGAAAUGCCAGUCCAGUUCAUCUGAACAAGUUUUUUGGUUCACACAAUGACCCAAAGUAGAUUAGUUUCUGACCAUCGAAAAAGGCUGCAUCCCUUCCAGAGUUUCAGACAUGCAGCGAGUACUUCAGCUCCCCAACUACGCUCAUCGAUGAGGAUAGUUUCGAAGUCAAUUCAAACUAUGUGAUGUUCUAAGUGAAGACGAAAGAUUAUUAA
This is a long non-coding RNA of Sorghum bicolor (sorghum), 1050 nucleotides long. RefSeq lists it as uncharacterized. The record is from RefSeq and is a predicted model, not a curated record. The transcript has 3 exons. NCBI's taxonomy places the organism in Eukaryota, Viridiplantae, Streptophyta, Magnoliopsida, Poales, Poaceae.